GAAAAAUGAAGAUAUUCUCACUGCUUCCUAUUACUACAGUGAAGACCUCAGAUCCAACUCUGAUUUCACUCUAGUU
This is a small nucleolar RNA of Accipiter nisus (Eurasian sparrowhawk), 76 nucleotides long. NCBI's taxonomy places the organism in Eukaryota, Metazoa, Chordata, Aves, Accipitriformes, Accipitridae. The record is from Ensembl.